UGGGGAAUUUUGGACAAUGGGCGAAAGCCUGAUCCAGCAAUGCCGCGUGUGUGAAGAAGGCCUUCGGGUUGUAAAGCACUUUUGUCCGGAAAGAAAUCCUUGGCUCUAAUACAGUCGGGGGAUGACGGUACCGGAAGAAUAAGCACCGGCUAACUACGUGCCAGCAGCCGCGGUAAUACGUAGGGUGCAAGCGUUAAUCGGAAUUACUGGGCGUAAAGCGUGCGCAGGCGGUUUGCUAAGACCGAUGUGAAAUCCCCGGGCUCAACCUGGGAACUGCAUUGGUGACUGGCAGGCUAGAGUAUGGCAGAGGGGGGUAGAAUUCCACGUGUAGCAGUGAAAUGCGUAGAGAUGUGGAGGAAUACCGAUGGCGAAGGCAGCCCCCUGGGCCAAGUACUGACGCUCAUGCACGAAAGCGUGGGGAGCAAACAGGAUUAGAUACCCUGGUAGUCCACGCCCUAAACGAUGUCAACUAGUUGUUGGGGAUUCAUUUCCUUAGUAACGUAGCUAACGCGUGAAGUUGACCGCCUGGGGAGUACGGUCGCAAGAUUAAAACUCAAA
RNAcentral lists this ribosomal RNA (558 nucleotides) under uncultured bacterium. RNAcentral describes it as "partial 16S ribosomal RNA". It matches the Rfam family "Bacterial small subunit ribosomal RNA", at positions 355 to 905 of the family's 1533-position model. The record is from RNAcentral.